RNAcentral lists this ribosomal RNA (468 nucleotides) under uncultured bacterium. Its description in RNAcentral is "partial 16S ribosomal RNA". It matches the Rfam family "Bacterial small subunit ribosomal RNA", at positions 38 to 507 of the family's 1533-position model. The record is from RNAcentral.
GGGGGGGGGGGGGGGGGGGGGGGGGGGGGGGGGGGCGGGCGGGAAGGCCCUGCUUUUGUGGGGUGCUCGAGUGGCGAACGGGUGGGUAACACGUGAGUAACCUGCCCUUGACUUUGGGAUAACUUCAGGAAACUGGGGCUAAUACCGGCUAGGAGCUCCUGCUGCAUGGUGGGGGUUGGAAAGUUUCGGCGGUUGGGGAUGGACUCGCGGCUUAUCAGCUUGUUGGUGGGGUAGUGGCUUACCAAGGCUUUGACGGGUAGCCGGCCUGAGAGGGUGACCGGCCACAUUGGGACUGAGAUACGGCCCAGACUCCUACGGGAGGCAGCAGUGGGGAAUAUUGCACAAUGGGCGGAAGCCUGAUGCAGCAACGCCGCGUGCGGGAUGACGGCCUUCGGGUUGUAAACCGCUUUCGCCUGUGACGAAGCGUGAGUGACGGUAAUGGGUAAAGAAGCACCGGCUAACUACGUG